CUGUGUUCUGUGACUGAUUCGGCUGGCGCCGGACUGGCGGGAGCCCGACGGUCUGUCACGGACCACGAGA
Molecule: non-coding RNA, 70 nt
Organism: Acyrthosiphon pisum (pea aphid)
Lineage: Eukaryota; Metazoa; Arthropoda; Insecta; Hemiptera; Aphididae
Source: Rfam